GGGCAAGUCUGGUGCCAGCAGCCGCGGUAAUUCCAGCUCCAAUAGCGUAUAUUAAAGUUGUUGCAGUUAAAAAGCUCGUAGUUGAAUUUCGGGACUAAUAUGUCGGUCGUACUUUGUACGUACUAGCAUUAUUGGUUUCGCCCUUCUGACGAACCACGAUGUCAUUAAUUUGGUGUCGCGGGAAAUCAGGACUGUUACUUUGAAAAAAUUAGAGUGUUUAAAGCAAGCUCGCGCUUGAAUACAUUAGCAUGGAAUAAUGAAAUAGGACGUUUGAUUCUAUUUUGUUGGUUUCUAGGAUCGACGUAAUGAUUAAUAGGGAUAGUUGGGGGCAUUAGUAUUCAAUUGUCAGAGGUGAAAUUCUUGGAUCUAUUGAAGACUAACUACUGCGAAAGCAUUUGCCAAGGAUGUUUUCAUUAAUCAAGAACGGAAGUUAGGGGAUCGAAGACGAUCAGAUACCGUCGUAGUCUUAACCAUAAACUAUGCCGACUAGGGAUCGGAUGAUGUUAAUUUUUUAAUGACUCAUUCGGCGCCUUACGGGAAAC
Molecule: ribosomal RNA, 542 nt
Filed under: uncultured Glomus
Lineage: Eukaryota; Fungi; Glomeromycota; Glomeromycetes; Glomerales; Glomeraceae
Description: SSU rRNA
Rfam family: Eukaryotic small subunit ribosomal RNA
Source: RNAcentral